CAGCCGCCGCGGUAAUACCGGCGGCCCGAGUGGCGGUCACUAUUAUUGGGCUUAAAGCGUCCGUAGCCGGGUUGGGAAGUCCUCCGGGAAAUCUGGCCGCUUAACGGUCAGAAUGCCGGAGGAUACUCCCAGCCUAGGGAGCGGGAGAGGCCGAGGGGAUUCCCGGAGGAGGGGUGGAAUCCUAUAAUCCCGGGAGGACCACCCGUGGGGAAGGCGCUCGGCUGGAACGCGUCCGACGGUGAGGGACGAAGGCCAGGGGAGCAAACCGGAUUAGAUACCCGGGUAGUCCUGGCUGUAAACGAUGCGGACUUUGUGUCGGACAAGCUAUGAGCUUGUCCGGUGCCGGAGGGAAACCGUUAAGUCCGCCGCCUGGGGAGUACGGCCGCAAGGCUGAAACUUAAAGGAAUUGGCGGG
RNAcentral lists this ribosomal RNA (414 nucleotides) under uncultured microorganism. Its description in RNAcentral is "bacterial SSU rRNA". It matches the Rfam family "Archaeal small subunit ribosomal RNA", at positions 459 to 872 of the family's 1478-position model. The record is from RNAcentral.